This 253-nucleotide ribosomal RNA is filed under the name uncultured bacterium. RNAcentral describes it as "partial 16S ribosomal RNA". It matches the Rfam family "Bacterial small subunit ribosomal RNA", at positions 524 to 776 of the family's 1533-position model. The record is from RNAcentral.
GACGUAGGGUGCGAGCGUUGUCCGGAUUUAUUGGGCGUAAAGAGCUCGUAGGCGGCUCGUCGCGUCGACCGUGAAAACCCGCAGCUUAACUGCGGGCUUGCGGUUGAUACGGGCGGGCUAGAGUUCGGUAGGGGAGACUGGAAUUCCUGGUGUAGCGGUGAAAUGCGCAGAUAUCAGGAGGAACACCGGUGGCGAAGGCGGGUCUCUGGGCCGAUACUGACGCUGAGGAGCGAGAGCGUGGGGAGCGAACAGG